AUUGAACGCUGGCGGCAGGCCUAACACAUGCAAGUCGAGCGGAUGAAGGGAGCUUGCUCCUGGAUUCAGCGGCGGACGGGUGAGUAUUGCCUAUGAAUCUGCCUGGUUGUGGGGGAUAACGUCCGCAAACGGGCGCUAAUACCGCAUACUUCCUGAGGGAGAAAGUGGGGGAUCUUCGGACCUCACGCUAUCAGAUGAGCCUAGGUCGGAUUAGCUAGUUGGUGGGGUAAAGGCCUACCAAGGCGACGAUCCGUAACUGGUCUGAGAGGAUGAUCAGUCACACUGGAACUGAGACACGGUCAAGACUCCUACGGGAGGCAGCAGUGGGGAAUAGUGGACAAUGGGCGAAAGCCUGAUCCAGCCAGGCCGCGUGUGUGAAGAAGGUCUUCGGAUUGUAAAGCACUUUAAGUUGGGAGGAAGGGCAGUAAGUUAAUACCUUGCUGGUUUGACGUUACCAACAGAAUAAGCACCGGCUAACUUCGUG
Molecule: ribosomal RNA, 484 nt
Filed under: uncultured bacterium
Lineage: Bacteria
Description: partial 16S ribosomal RNA
Rfam family: Bacterial small subunit ribosomal RNA
Source: RNAcentral